UCUCAAAAUAGCCUCUCUGUCUUUGUAGAAAUUAACAUACAUGUAACUUUAUAGAACUUUGACUGAAAUUCCGUUGUCUUCAAUAGCAACAGUAGAGGGCUCUGCAAAUUGAAUCAUCAAACGCACUUCGAAAUAGUUAUAUGCAACUCAACGGGGAAGACGCCGGCGGAAGCAACAAGAGCGUAGGUAGUCUAUAAACCGUUUGUCUUUUUUUCACCUUUCACUACAAUUCAAAAUAUGCUUCUUUCACCAAAAAACAAAAAACAAACGUAUCCUUCCCUUUCCAUCAUUUUCAAUCCCUUCCCACCUUCUCUCUUUCCUUUUAUCUUUUCCACAAAGCUUUAUUCACUUUUUGACCUUGUUGAAAAAAUGCCUAAACUCUUUCAAACAAAUUUGUUCAAAUUCUUAGAUAAAGCUGAAACAAAAUCUGCUCAAAUCCCCCUCAUUAAAUGAUAAAUGACUAUUUUACUGUUCAAAAUCCCACGCUCUUAAUUUCAAACGUUAGAGAUAAUAAUUUUGCCUAUAAAAACCAAGCCAUUGCAGCCAACAGAGGAGGAGCUGGGCAGCUCCUUCCAUGUCCCUCAUCCAUCAGUGCUUAACUAUUCAAAGCUUAUCUUCUUCCUUGCUCUCUAAAAAUUCAGCUUUAAGUUUUCUCUGCCUUUUGACUUCUAUUUAGUCCAUAGCCUUGCCAAAGUUUUUAUUUAUUUAUUUGUUGUGUCCGCAUUUGACGAUCUUUCGAAAGAGCUGAGCCAAAGUCGAAGAUUUUCUUGACGCCGCCCUCAGUUCACUGCACUGCAAAAGGUCUGUGUUUUUAUUAUUUUUCGUUUUUUCUGGAAUUUAUAGUAUGUUCAUGUUUCAGUAUCUAUUUGGGAAUGAGCUCUUAAUUUUCUGAUAUUUUAUCUUUUAUCUGCGG
RNAcentral lists this long non-coding RNA (913 nucleotides) under Nicotiana benthamiana. Its description in RNAcentral is "long non-coding RNA (NBEN_LNC006054)". The record is from RNAcentral. Lineage: Eukaryota; Viridiplantae; Streptophyta; Magnoliopsida; Solanales; Solanaceae.